Molecule: ribosomal RNA, 301 nt
Filed under: uncultured bacterium
Lineage: Bacteria
Description: partial 16S ribosomal RNA
Rfam family: Bacterial small subunit ribosomal RNA
Source: RNAcentral
CAGUCGCCACGGUAACACGUAGGGGGCAAGCGUUGUCCGGAAUCAUUGGGCGUAAAGAGCGCGUAGGCGGCUUUGUAAGUCUGCUGUGAAAGUCCAGGGCUCAACCCUGGAAUGCCGGUGGAAACUGUCAAGCUAGAGUCCGGAAGAGGCGAGUGGAAUUCCUGGUGUAGCGGUGAAAUGCGCAGAUAUCAGGAGGAACACCAAUGGCGAAGGCAGCUCGCUGGGACGGUACUGACGCUGAGACGCGAAAGCGUGGGGAGCAAACAGGAUUAGAUACCCGCGUAGUCCCUGUCUCUUAUAA